UGACGGAACCAGUGCCACCCCUGUGAGUGUCCUCGCACAAAUGUGUAUGCAGGUGUUGCUGGUAUCAGCAGGCAUGGACAACUGACAUUAAGCAGGAGAUACUUGUCUUGAGAAGAUGUUAGUGUGGAUGACACAUGGCAAUGGCAGCAACUAUGAAGGUGGUAUGCAAAGGAUUAAAAGCUGAUGCACACAUCUAGACUCCUAACAGUUUCUGUGCCAUCUUUCCCUCUUCCCCUGUUCUUUAGAGCAACAUGGCUCAGCCACAAAUAACUUCAAUCACGGCUUCUUCCAUUCAUUCCUACACCCUUCCAUCCACCCAUCCACCCAUCCAUCCAUCUUUGAUGCAAGUCAACAUGCUAGGUGUUAGGGAUCCAAGACCCACUGCCCAAGUCUCCAUAUCUUGACUUCUCUUUCCAAACUCCCAUCUGUUCCAGCCCUUCCUGUUUAAUAAACAUUGAUGUGCCCGUGUG
Long non-coding RNA from Diceros bicornis minor, 470 nucleotides. RefSeq lists it as uncharacterized. The transcript has 2 exons. The record is from RefSeq and is a predicted model, not a curated record. Lineage: Eukaryota; Metazoa; Chordata; Mammalia; Perissodactyla; Rhinocerotidae.